UACGUAGGGGGCUAGCGUUGUCCGGAAUCAUUGGGCGUAAAGAGCGUGUAGGCGGCCCGGUAAGUCCGCUGUAAAAGUCAAAGGCUCAACCUUUGAAUGUCAGUGGAUACUGCCGGGCUAGAGUCCGGAAGAGGCGAGUGGAACUCCUGGUGUAGCGGUGGAAUGCGCAGAUAUCAGGAAGAACACCUAUGGCGAAGGCAGCACUCUGGGCCUUACCUGACGCUGAGGAGCGAAAGCGUGGGGAGCGAACCGG
RNAcentral lists this ribosomal RNA (253 nucleotides) under uncultured bacterium. Its description in RNAcentral is "partial 16S ribosomal RNA". It matches the Rfam family "Bacterial small subunit ribosomal RNA", at positions 524 to 776 of the family's 1533-position model. The record is from RNAcentral.